This 260-nucleotide ribosomal RNA is filed under the name uncultured bacterium. RNAcentral describes it as "partial 16S ribosomal RNA". It matches the Rfam family "Bacterial small subunit ribosomal RNA", at positions 334 to 610 of the family's 1533-position model. The record is from RNAcentral.
CUUUCCUACGGGAGGCAGCAGUGGGGAAUAUUGCACAAUGGGGGAAACCCUGAUGCAGCGACGCCGCGUGAGUGAAGAAGUAUUUCGGUAUGUAAAGCUCUAUCAGCAGGGAAGAAGCAAGACGGUACCUGACUAAGAAGCCCCGGCUAACUACGUGCCAGCAGCCGCGGUAAUACGUAGGGGGCAAGCGUUAUCCGGAUUUACUGGGUGUAAAGGGAGCGUAGACGGUAUGGCAAGUCUGAAGUGAUAGCCCAGGGCUU